GACGUAGGGCGCGAGCGUUGUCCGGAUUUAUUGGGCGUAAAGAGUGCGUAGGUGGUGAGGUAAGUCGGAUGUGAAAUCUCCGGGCUCAACCCGGAAAUGGCAUUGGAAACUACCUUGCUGGAGGAUUUGAGGGGGGAUUGGAAUACUUGGUGUAGCAGUGAAAUGCGUAGAUAUCAAGUGGAACACCAGUGGCGAAGGCGAAUCCCUGGAAAAUACCUGACACUGAGGCACGAAAGCUAGGGGAGCAAACAGG
This 253-nucleotide ribosomal RNA is filed under the name uncultured bacterium. RNAcentral's name for it is "partial 16S ribosomal RNA". It matches the Rfam family "Bacterial small subunit ribosomal RNA", at positions 524 to 776 of the family's 1533-position model. The record is from RNAcentral.